This 1208-nucleotide long non-coding RNA is filed under the name Selaginella moellendorffii. RNAcentral describes it as "long non-coding RNA (SMOE_LNC000869)". Lineage: Eukaryota; Viridiplantae; Streptophyta; Lycopodiopsida; Selaginellales; Selaginellaceae. The record is from RNAcentral.
GCGUUCAAUCAGACCCAUGUUUUUUCAAGUCUCUCCUUCAAAAACGAGGAAAUGACUACAGACAUUAGUCUAGGAGUUGUGUGAGAACACGAGUGACCGCUACAACGUUUUCACGCAGAGAAUAUCCGCGAAAAAUAUUCUUCCAGAUGAAUAAAGGAAUGCCACAUGUCCUUAUUUUCAUGUAGUACGGUCAUUUUUUGGCAGACGCCAUAAAUUCCUCCAAUAUCAAGUCAGUCAAAAAGUGAAUCUGACGUAGUCCACCUUGCAAGGUCUUGCCCAAAUAGGAUGACACAGCUGGCUGGGAGUUCAAAUAAUUCGGCGCUUGAGAGGCCGAAAAAAUAAUGGCUAGUAAAGGAAAGUUGUGCUUCAUUGUCUCGUCGAUCUUCAUCCUGCGUUUUGCUCAAGCAGAAAUAUGCUACUCGAACUUCACCACCAAGAUAAAUGGUGCCUUGUAUCCGCUUGAUCCAUACGGUUUGAGUGGCCGCUACGCUGGUUUAUGGUCAAAUUAUAGCAACAUAGAUAUCAGCCAGGGCAUGAGUUACCAGGUGUGGAUGCUGAGUUAUAACGCUGAAACGCCAAAAUCGUUUUUCCUGGCACUCAUUGCCAUCCGCAAUCCAAGUGAGUAUUGGGAUCUCACAAGACCGGUCAUCCUGUGGAAGGCCCGACAGACGAGGCUUGUAGGUGAGAAUGCCACUUUACAAUUUACCGCAGAUGGAGAGCUUAAAAUCGAAGAAGACGAUGAUGUCGUAUGGUCCACGAAAACUGCAAACAGAGGCGUCCGGUGGCUCUGUAUUUCCAAUCGCGCAACCAUAAUGCUCCUGGAUGAAAGCGGAAGCAAUGUCAUCUGGCAAAGCAGCGACGAACCUUCUGAUACUGUGCUGUUGCAACGAGCACUUACGCCGGGACAAAAGCUCGUAAGUUGGAAUACUUCAGAAGACAGCAGCGAUGGCCUCUAUAGUCUCGUCAUAGAGAAAAACAGGCUGCAACUGUUGUACGCCUCGCAACCGUACUGGAGCUUCGGUAAUAUUACCAGCGAGGAAGAUAUGUUUGCGGUGUUCUGCAGGCAAAACGAUGGUAUCGUGUCUCUGGAUCUGCGAGCCAACUUCUCACAGAUUGAAACGAAUCGUGAUGACUUGGGGUUGGUGUUUUCAUUGUCAUGUUCCAGUCGAGGUUUAAGAGAUCAAGUGAUGGAGUUGCCAAUAGAUGGG